Molecule: ribosomal RNA, 327 nt
Filed under: uncultured eukaryote
Lineage: Eukaryota
Description: partial 18S ribosomal RNA
Rfam family: Eukaryotic small subunit ribosomal RNA
Source: RNAcentral
UCCCUUAGAUGUUCUGGGCCGCACGCGCGCUACACUGAAGGGAUCAGCGUGUUUUCCCUUCCCGAGAGGGACGGGUAACCCGCUGAACCCCCUUCGUGGUAGGGAUCGGAGCUUGCAAUUGUUCUCCGUGAACCAGGAAUUCCCAGUAAGCGCAAGUCAUAAGCUUGCGUUGAUUACGUCCCUGCCCUUUGUACACACCGCCCGUCGCUACUACCGAUUGAACGUUUUAGUGAGGUAUUUGGACUGGGCCUUGGGAGGUUUCGGCCUCCCUUGUUGCUCGGAAAGACUCCCAAACUUGAGCGUUUAGAGGAAGUAAAAGUCGUAACA